This 1518-nucleotide small RNA is filed under the name uncultured Arctic sea ice bacterium. Its description in RNAcentral is "bacterial SSU rRNA". The stretch from base 1 to 994 matches the Rfam family "Bacterial small subunit ribosomal RNA", at positions 528 to 1533 of the family's 1533-position model. The record is from RNAcentral.
AAGGGACCUAGCGUAGUUCGGAAUUACUGGGCUUAAAGAGUUCGUAGGUGGUUGAAAAAGUUGGUGGUGAAAUCCCAGAGCUUAACUCUGGAACUGCCAUCAAAACUUUUCAGCUAGAGUAUGAUAGAGGAGAGCAGAAUUUCUAGUGUAGAGGUGAAAUUCGUAGAUAUUAGAAAGAAUACCAAUUGCGAAGGCAGCUUUCUGGAUCAUUACUGACACUGAGGAACGAAAGCAUGGGUAGCGAAGAGGAUUAGAUACCCUCGUAGUCCAUGCCGUAAACGAUGUGUGUUAGACGUUGGAAAUUUAUUUUCAGUGUCGCAGGGAAACCGAUAAACACACCGCCUGGGGAGUACGACCGCAAGGUUAAAACUCAAAUGAAUUGACGGGGACCCGCACAAGUAGUGGAGCAUGUGGUUUAAUUCGAAGAUACGCGCAGAACCUUACCAACACUUGACAUGUUCGUCGCGACUCUAAGAGAUUAGAGUUUUCGGUUCGGCCGGACGAAACACAGGUGCUGCAUGGCUGUCGUCAGCUCGUGUCGUGAGAUGUUGGGUUAAGUCCCGCAACGAGCGCAACCCUCACUUUUAGUUGCCAUCAUUAAGUUGGGCACUCUGAAAGAACUGCCAGUGAUAAGCUGGAGGAAGGUGGGGAUGACGUCAAGUCCUCAUGGCCCUUACAUGUUGGGCUACACACGUGCUACAAUGGCAUCUACAACAGGAAGCAAAACGGCAACGUUAAGCAAAUCCCGAAAAGAUGCCUCAGUUCGGAUUGCACUCCGCAACUCGAGUGCAUGAAGCUGGAAUCACUAGUAAUCGUGGAUCAGCGUGCCACGGUGAAUGCGUUCCCGGGUCUUGUACACACCGCCCGUCACACCAUGGGAGUUGGUUCUACCUUAAGGCAAGGUUUUAAACCCUUGACCACGGUAUAGUCAGCGACUGGGGUGAAGUCGUAACAAGGUAGCCGUAGGGGAACCUGCGGCUGGAUUACCUCCUUUCUAAGGAUGAGUGAAAGUAAAAUUUCACUCUAAAUAAUAUACAUCGGUAAUGUUGACCGUCCUCAUUUCUCUUCUUAAAGUAAUGUUUCCUUCUUGUAGGGCCGGUAGCUCAGUUGGUUAGAGCACACCCUUGAUAAGGGUGGGGUCGAAAGUUCGAGUCUUUCUCGGCCCACCAAAAACCUAAAUGGGGGAUUAGCUCAUCUGGGAGAGCGCCUGAUUUGCAUUCAGGAGGUAGCAGGUUCGAUCCCUGUAUCCUCCACCAGGAAACAUUUAGUUAUUAAAACUGUAAAUAAAAAUAAUUUAUAUCAAUAUCUAUAUCCGAACAUUAAAAGUUAUUAUUUAAUGUUCAAAAUAAAAAUUUGAUCACAACAUAGAUAAAUUUUCUGUUAAAAGAAUUUUUUUCUGUGCAUAAAUCAAGCGUUUAAGGGCGUGUAGUGGAUGCCUUGGCACUGAAAGCCGAUGAAGGACGUGAUAUACUGCGAUAAGUUUCGGGGAGCUGUAUGUAAGCUUUGAUCCGAAAAUUU